GUUUAAUUGCUCGGCUCUAUAGAGAUAGCCUCAGUUUGCCGGCGCCGGCGCCCUCACCGGCGAUUAAUGUUCGGAAUUUUACUUUUGGGUGUGCCCACACGACGCUCGGCGAGCCGGUUGGGGUUGCCGGAUUCGGCCGGGGGACGUUGUCGAUGCCGAGUCAACUCGCCACUUUCUCACCCCAACUUGGGAACCGGUUUUCUUAUUGUUUGGUUUCUCACUCGUUUGCAACAGACCGAGUUCGCCGCCCGAGUCCGUUGAUUCUCGGCCGGUACUACGGCCGCGAGACGGAGUUCAUUUACACUUCAUUGCUUGAGAAUCCGAAGCAUCCUUAUUUUUACUCGGUUGGGUUGGCCGGGAUUUCAGUCGGG
This 371-nucleotide unclassified non-coding RNA is filed under the name Hevea brasiliensis (rubber tree). Lineage: Eukaryota; Viridiplantae; Streptophyta; Magnoliopsida; Malpighiales; Euphorbiaceae. The record is from RNAcentral.